GACGAACGCUGGCGGCGUGCUUAACACAUGCAAGUCGAACGGAAAGGCCCUGCUUUUGUGGGGUGCUCGAGUGGCGAACGGGUGAGUAACACGUGAGUAACCUGCCCUUGACUUUGGGAUAACUUCAGGAAACUGGGGCUAAUACCGGAUAGGAGCUCCUGCUGCAUGGUGGGGGUUGGAAAGUUUCGGCGGUUGGGGAUGGACUCGCGGCUUAUCAGCUUGUUGGUGGGGUAGUGGCUUACCAAGGCUUUGACGGGUAGCCGGCCUGAGAGGGUGACCGGCCACAUUGGGACGAAGAUACGGCCAAGACUCUUACGGGAGGAAGCAGGGGGAAUUAUUGCACAAGGGGCGGAAGCAGGAGGAAGCAACGCGGCGGGCGGGAUGACGGCUUUCGGGUUGAAAACCGCUUUCGCCUGUGACGAAGCGUGAGGGACGGUAAUGGGUAAAGAAGCACCGGCAAAUUAGGG
This 467-nucleotide ribosomal RNA is filed under the name uncultured bacterium. Its description in RNAcentral is "partial 16S ribosomal RNA". It matches the Rfam family "Bacterial small subunit ribosomal RNA", at positions 28 to 506 of the family's 1533-position model. The record is from RNAcentral.